GGGCGUAAGGGCUCGCAGGCGGUUUCUUAAGUCUGAUGUGAAAGCCCCCGGCUCAACCGGGGAGGGUCAUUGGAAACUGGGGAACUUGAGUGCAGAAGAGGAGAGUGGAAUUCCACGUGUAGCGGUGAAAUGCGUAGAGAUGUGGAGGAACACCAGUGGCGAAGGCGACUCUCUGGUCUGUAACUGACGCUGAGGAGCGAAAGCGUGGGGAGCGAACAGGAUUAGAUACCCUGGUAGUCCACGCCGUAAACGAUGAGUGCUAAGUGUUAGGGGGUUUCCGCCCCUUAGUGCUGCAGCUAACGCAUUAAGCACUCCGCCUGGGGAGUACGGUCGCAAGACUGAAACUCAAAGGAAUUGACGGGGGCCCGCACAAGCGGUGGAGCAUGUGGUUUAAUUCGAAGCAACGCGAAGAACCUUACCAGGUCUUGACAUCCUCUGACAAUCCUAGAGAUAGGACGUCCCCUUCGG
This 468-nucleotide ribosomal RNA is filed under the name Bacillus sp. (in: firmicutes). RNAcentral describes it as "bacterial SSU rRNA". It matches the Rfam family "Bacterial small subunit ribosomal RNA", at positions 556 to 1023 of the family's 1533-position model. Lineage: Bacteria; Bacillati; Bacillota; Bacilli; Caryophanales; Bacillaceae. The record is from RNAcentral.